Xiphophorus maculatus (southern platyfish) is the source of this 389-nucleotide long non-coding RNA. RefSeq lists it as uncharacterized. The record is from RefSeq and is a predicted model, not a curated record. The transcript has 3 exons. Lineage: Eukaryota; Metazoa; Chordata; Actinopteri; Cyprinodontiformes; Poeciliidae.
UCUGCAGGUCGGUGAUCUCUCACCGCCUUCCUCACAUCCUGCACCGGAGGAAACGCUGACGGAUCGCCGCCCCCUGCAGGGUCACCGUUAUUACAGCGAUCCAUCACCGAGCGGCCGAGUCCAUCCUCCAGAUUCCGGUUCUGGGCAGCUGGCCAUCAGGUUUGUCAUUUUGUCAACAUGCGGCGCCGUGCAAAGCUCCAAUAAAACCUGCAGCCCCAAUGUUUAUUCACGCCACUUUCCAUGUUUACAUCCAACCCGACCCGUGGCACUUUCACAAGAAGCCCGGGUCGCUGUCAGCCACCAAUUUUCCAUGAGGAUGAGGUCAUGACCUUCAGCGGCUUUAAGAAAGGCGGCUUUAACCAGUAAAACCAGUUCUGCUUGGGAGCUUU